Fukomys damarensis (Damara mole-rat) is the source of this 4076-nucleotide long non-coding RNA. RefSeq lists it as uncharacterized. The transcript is spliced from 3 exons. Lineage: Eukaryota; Metazoa; Chordata; Mammalia; Rodentia; Bathyergidae. The record is from RefSeq and is a predicted model, not a curated record.
CCGGACCGCAUAGGUGCCCGCGGCGCCCACUACACGCACAGCGGGUCCUGCCCUGCCGGGGGACGCAGGUCCUUGGAGGUGGCCUGGAACAAAGGUUCCCCGGGGCUCGCUGCGGAACCCCCGAAAAUCGAGUCUGCAGGCUGUGGUCGCUGCUCUAUGAAGGAGGCCAAGCCGUCAGCACAGGUGAAAGCGCGGCUUUGAAGACGUGAAUUGGAUGUGGAGAGCUGCAAGGAGAAGGCACCUCAAGGGCAGGAUAAAGCACUGUGCUGUGGAGACAGAUAGGCCAGGCCCAGGCAGAGACAAGGAGAGUCAGACAGGUGUGUCUGCCACGGAGAGCCACGUCUAAACCCUGCUCACAGAGGCAACCCCAGCCUUUGGUCCCUUACCCCGGCGGCCCAACCCUUACUGGCAGGUCUCUCCUACAGGUGGAUGGAACCUCAGUUUUGUACACAAAGGCAGGAGUCUUGCUACCCUUUAAGCAGAAAGAGUGGUUUCUGCCUUAUUGAUAACUCACUCUAUGGCCCAAGAAAUAUUGUGCGACCUCCCUCAGUCUCACCUUCCUCGUCUCUAAAGUGGGAAUGAUGUCACCCACUGUGCUGAGAUGCAGUGCAGCUGAGACUGGCUGAGAUGAUCCAUGUACGGGCUCUAUAGAUAGUUCAGAGACUAAAAUGUUCUACCUAUAGAGAAGGAAGAGGAAAAGUGUAGCAAGUCCCUGUCCGGGAGGAGAGGAAAGCAGAUUCUCAUGUCUGACCUUGGAGAACAGAAGAAGAAAGGAGAGGCAGGGAGGGAUGUGCGCCACCCACAAGGACACAGGGCAGGACCCCUGUGCUGUGCUUGCUGUGUUCUUGGUCCGUGUCUAUCAAGCAAGCCAAUGGAGGAGCCGAGUGCAGAGGGUUUGGGGCUGCCUCCCUUUGGGGGCCUUGGGGGAGCCCCUCCAGGGUGGUUUUGCAGGACCUGCGGAAUGCGGCCACAGCUGGCAUGGUAUCCCUGUUCCCUAGGUCCUCUGGGUGGAGCCCCCCAUGGGAGGGACAUGAAGCAUCAAGACUAACACACACCUGGAUGUGGACUGUGAGGCCAUCCUGGGCAGGGCUGAGGGAACAAAGGCCUUGAACCAGGCUGCAGAUUCCAGCCCCCUCCAAGGCCUCCUAAAGUUACCCUUGUGGUCACCUGCCUCGUGACCAUCCCAUGCCAGCAGCUCAGAACAGACACAGCAAGGUCCCUAGCAAGGACACUCCCACGCUGCCUCUCCUCUCACCACCACCCAGACACCAUCUUGGAGAUCAGCAGUGAGUGGAAAGGGGACUUGGAGUGACUGUGUGUCCACCUGAAUGAUGCAGCGUUUUCUGAGAAGGGGUAUAACCCAGAAAGCUACCGUGAGUGUGGAGGCUGAGGCUUAUAUGGCUCUGGAGACGCUGUUGUGAGUGGCUUCAGACCUGCUGCGUGGACUCAAGGAGAUGGCUUAUGCAGAAGUGCAACAGACACAACCAUGUUUGCAGUAAAAACCCAGGAGCCCUUGGAGCCAAAGCCAAGCAAUAUGGUGUGAAGAUGGAAACAACAAAAACCCUGGACAUUUAAGAAGUUGGCAAAAAUCAUGGGGGCAUGGAGACUCUGACCAAACUCUUAUGUUUUGGAGACAUCCAAUAAAUAGCAAAGGAUACAUGUAAUACUGUUGUUCAGUGUCAGCCAACUUGAAGGACUCCUGCUCUCCCCUCAGUGUGGUUCCGAACCAACCCAGGUGCAGAGGGCAGACAGGCACCUCCUCUAACUGGGUUUGGGGAUGGUGCUGCACACAGCCACCAUCGGUGAGAAGUCUGUCCCCUGGGAGCUGUUCUGCCGUAGGAACUGGGCGUCUCAGGGCCUGAGCGUCAGGUGUUGGGCAAGACAAGCCUUCCCCAGGGCUUUUGCUGUGUUCUGUGGCCUUCUAGAGGACAAGUGGCUUCUGGGUUGACCUUCACUGUCACACGGAGAAAGAAGUACAAAGUAGUUGAGACUUGCCAGGCACCCAUUUCAGAUCUCAGCAACUGUGUGCACUCUGUACCUGUUUCCUCAUCAAUGAAAUGCUGCGAAUGAUAGUCGUCUUAGUCACUUUCUUCAUCACUGUGACAAAAUAACUGAUACCAGUAUUUUAAGGGAGGGGAGAUUUAUUUUGGCUCACACUUCAGUCCAUAGUCAGCUAGUUCCAAAGCAGGAUGGCGUGGCACAGGGCCAUGGUACAGAAACAGCUGCUCACGUCAUGGCAACCAGGGAGCAGAGAGAGAGUCGAAGGAGGAUCAGGCAAGGGAGAUACAACCUUCAAGUCACACCACAGUGACAGCCUCUUCAGCCUGGAUCCCACCUCCUAGCAGUAAGUCGGCUGUAAGUCCCAAGUCAGCUUCCAGAGGUCCUGCCUGUGAGCCCAUGAGACUUUAAGGAAAUAGUGUAAUGGUGAUGUUACAUCAAAAGCUAUACCCAGAGAAAAUUUAACAGCUGCCAAUGCUUGAUUUUAAACAUGAAGGAGUGAAAACAAAUAAAAUUAAACAUUCGGCUUAAAAUCCUAGGGCAAAUUAAUAAGGAUUUUUUACUUUGUACAUGAAAGCUCUCGCACUCAAACUAAGAAGGAAGCACAGGGAAUUCAAAGAAUGGCUCAACGCCCAAAUGUAGAAGAGCAGGGAGCUGCUGGACGGGAGGGAACCUGGAGCAGAGCCUGGGCUCCACCGGCACCUGCACACACUUUGUUUCCUUGCCUUCACCCGUGCCAGCAUCCUCUCUUGCUCACCACUUUCCUUCCUGGGGAAGAACCAGCCCUGGCAGCUAGAGCUAAAACUUCUUUGCCUCCCACUAUAGGGGCUCCAUCCCUCUCACCACUCUGGGGAAGGAACUCUGGAAAGGAAAGGCUGGGGUGACUGCAAUUUGGGUCACAUACUCCCCCCUGAACCAGCCGUGUCAGGGGACAGGUGAGACUGUGGCUGACCCAUCUCAGGAGAGUAGACAGGGACAGGAUCGCAGGAGAAGGACCAGUUCCUGAUGGGAUACUGAGGCUGGAGCCACAAAGAAACAUUGCUCAAAACACUGAGGACACCACUCUAAAAGGACAAGAAGGCCAGGGGAGUACGGAGUCCAAAGAAAUAUUUGUAAAGAACUCCAAGGGCUGAGUCUGCAAAGAACCCCAUGCCUAGGAGUCUAUCUUCCUGUCCAUUUUUACUUCUGGACACUUGCUCCCCUUCCCACAAUAAUUCCCACAAUUCCCAGUAAUAUCCAGCCACUUGUCACUCUCUACAUACUCCUGAUUCCACUCCUGGUGCACUUUUGGUUCCCCAGGACCCAGGGCAAUGGCCUCCUCUUCUGCAGACAUGCCUCCUUCCAUGGAGGAGCCCGAAGCCCUCCCUUCCCAUCAUUGUGACACAGAAUUGAUUGCUCUCUUACCUGUCCAUUCAUCUUGUUACAUUGUGAGUUCCUGCCUUCACCUGCCUGUCCGCCCCCCCCACACACCCCAUCCCCAGCUCAGAGCCAGAUCCAUGUGAACUAUUGUCAUCUAUAUGGAUUGAGUAGUUGAAUAUCUCAUCUCAUUAGACAUCCAUGAUCACAGCCUAUGGUGUUUACAGCCCUUUGUCUCUUUCAUGAGGAGUGACAGGGCUCAUGGGUGUCUUUCUCCACAGGAGGUGACACACUUGCAGUGUCAGAGAAUGCCUCUGACUCUCUCACCUCCCCUGGGCUAUGUUUUUAUUUUCAGUUUCCCACUACAAUUCUGAUUCAUAUCAGAAGAUUCAUCAGUUACUCCUCAAAACGGAAGUACGAACAAAAUAUUCUACUCAAUACUUUUGCCCUAUUCCAUGCAAGUUUUCAUUUUCUCCCCGUCUACCAGAAAGAUGUCAGGGCUCCGUUUGCCAGUAGUGGUCAUAAUAGUGUACAGCGCCUUCUGACUUUCAAAUUAUUUUAACAGUACUAUUCAUCCAGCUCCAGCUUAUUUGAUUUUGGUGUUAUUAGUGAGGAAAUGACAUUCAUGUGAUGUUAUUCAGAUUUUAAUAGCUAACCACUUUCCUGUUGUAUUAAUCUGAUCUGGAAACCAAACUCACAAGUGAGAACAAUCUGUUUUUUAG